This is a long non-coding RNA of Musa acuminata subsp. malaccensis (wild Malaysian banana), 483 nucleotides long. RefSeq lists it as uncharacterized. NCBI's taxonomy places the organism in Eukaryota, Viridiplantae, Streptophyta, Magnoliopsida, Zingiberales, Musaceae. The record is from RefSeq and is a predicted model, not a curated record.
GAGAGAGAGACUGUGUGUGUGUGUGUGUGUGUGUGUGUGUGUGUUAGUUUAGGUUCGGGCGUAGCGAGGGAGAAGGCGAUGAGGGAGCGUGAACGAGAUACUUCCCCGAUCGCCGGUUCCUUGACGCGAUCAUUUUCGCAUACCUCCUGGAGCAACCGGUAGGCUCGCGGCCUCCGCUAUCGGUCGGCGAUGUCCGAAACGCCGUUCCUGAGAGCAAGAUCGAGUUCCGCGAGGGCGACAGUCGGAUCACCAUAUCCAGUGUCCGAGUCCACGCCGACAUCGUCGUCCUCGGGCAAUAGAGUGCUGGGAUUACGAAUCCCUCACCGUUCAGGGGGUCCAGGUGAGGCUGCUGAUCCAAGGCACUUUGUGCUGAUGGUGUGGCCAACAUUUAGCCACGCUUGCGCGCUGUUUAUUAGAUCUGUCGCAAUUCUGGCCCAAUGCUUCCAUGCUGUUUUUCUAGUUUUAGGCAUGAUUUCUUUUUCA